Molecule: ribosomal RNA, 1517 nt
Filed under: Klebsiella quasipneumoniae
Lineage: Bacteria; Pseudomonadati; Pseudomonadota; Gammaproteobacteria; Enterobacterales; Enterobacteriaceae
Description: bacterial SSU rRNA
Rfam family: Bacterial small subunit ribosomal RNA
Source: RNAcentral
AGAGUUUGAUCAUGGCUCAGAUUGAACGCUGGCGGCAGGCCUAACACAUGCAAGUCGAGCGGUAGCACAGAGAGCUUGCUCUCGGGUGACAAGCGGCGGACGGGUGAGUAAUGUCUGGGAAACUGCCUGAUGGAGGGGGAUAACUACUGGAAACGGUAGCUAAUACCGCAUAACGUCGCAAGACCAAAGUGGGGGACCUUCGGGCCUCAUGCCAUCAGAUGUGCCCAGAUGGGAUUAGCUAGUAGGUGGGGUAACGGCUCACCUAGGCGACGAUCCCUAGCUGGUCUGAGAGGAUGACCAGCCACACUGGAACUGAGACACGGUCCAGACUCCUACGGGAGGCAGCAGUGGGGAAUAUUGCACAAUGGGCGCAAGCCUGAUGCAGCCAUGCCGCGUGUAUGAAGAAGGCCUUCGGGUUGUAAAGUACUUUCAGCGGGGAGGAAGGCGAUAAGGUUAAUAACCUUGUCGAUUGACGUUACCCGCAGAAGAAGCACCGGCUAACUCCGUGCCAGCAGCCGCGGUAAUACGGAGGGUGCAAGCGUUAAUCGGAAUUACUGGGCGUAAAGCGCACGCAGGCGGUCUGUCAAGUCGGAUGUGAAAUCCCCGGGCUCAACCUGGGAACUGCAUUCGAAACUGGCAGGCUAGAGUCUUGUAGAGGGGGGUAGAAUUCCAGGUGUAGCGGUGAAAUGCGUAGAGAUCUGGAGGAAUACCGGUGGCGAAGGCGGCCCCCUGGACAAAGACUGACGCUCAGGUGCGAAAGCGUGGGGAGCAAACAGGAUUAGAUACCCUGGUAGUCCACGCCGUAAACGAUGUCGAUUUGGAGGUUGUGCCCUUGAGGCGUGGCUUCCGGAGCUAACGCGUUAAAUCGACCGCCUGGGGAGUACGGCCGCAAGGUUAAAACUCAAAUGAAUUGACGGGGGCCCGCACAAGCGGUGGAGCAUGUGGUUUAAUUCGAUGCAACGCGAAGAACCUUACCUGGUCUUGACAUCCACAGAACUUNUUGGUGCCUUCGGGAACUGUGAGACAGGUGCUGCAUGGCUGUCGUCAGCUCGUGUUGUGAAAUGUUGGGUUAAGUCCCGCAACGAGCGCAACCCUUAUCCUUUGUUGCCAGCGGUUCGGCCGGGAACUCAAAGGAGACUGCCAGUGAUAAACUGGAGGAAGGUGGGGAUGACGUCAAGUCAUCAUGGCCCUUACGACCAGGGCUACACACGUGCUACAAUGGCAUAUACAAAGAGAAGCGACCUCGCGAGAGCAAGCGGACCUCAUAAAGUAUGUCGUAGUCCGGAUUGGAGUCUGCAACUCGACUCCAUGAAGUCGGAAUCGCUAGUAAUCGUAGAUCAGAAUGCUACGGUGAAUACGUUCCCGGGCCUUGUACACACCGCCCGUCACACCAUGGGAGUGGGUUGCAAAAGAAGUAGGUAGCUUAACCUUCGGGAGGGCGCUUACCACUUUGUGAUUCAUGACUGGGGUGAAGUCGUAACAAGGUAACCGUAGGGGAACCUGCGGUUGGAUCACCU